UGGGGAAUAUUGCACAAUGGGCGCAAGCCUGAUGCAGCAACGCCGCGUGAACGAUGAAGGUCUUCGGAUCGUAAAGUUCUGUUGCAGGGGAAGAUAAUGACGGUACCCUGUGAGGAAGCCCCGGCUAACUACGUGCCAGCAGCCGCGGUAAUACGUAGGGGGCUAGCGUUAUCCGGAUUUACUGGGCGUAAAGGGUGCGUAGGUGGUCCUUCAAGUCGGUGGUUAAAGGCUACGGCUCAACCGUAGUAAGCCGCCGAAACUGGAGGACUUGAGUGCAGGAGAGGAAAGUGGAAUUCCCAGUGUAGCGGUGAAAUGCGUAGAUAUUGGGAGGAACACCAGUAGCGAAGGCGGCUUUCUGGACUGCAACUGACACUGAGGCACGAAAGCGUGUGUAGCAAACAGG
RNAcentral lists this ribosomal RNA (403 nucleotides) under Verrucomicrobiota bacterium. RNAcentral's name for it is "Verrucomicrobia bacterium partial 16S ribosomal RNA". It matches the Rfam family "Bacterial small subunit ribosomal RNA", at positions 355 to 776 of the family's 1533-position model. The record is from RNAcentral. Lineage: Bacteria; Pseudomonadati; Verrucomicrobiota.